This is a long non-coding RNA of Haliaeetus leucocephalus (bald eagle), 4407 nucleotides long. RefSeq lists it as uncharacterized. The transcript has 3 exons. The record is from RefSeq and is a predicted model, not a curated record. NCBI's taxonomy places the organism in Eukaryota, Metazoa, Chordata, Aves, Accipitriformes, Accipitridae.
CCGGCGGCUGGGCCCGGGGGGUGCUGAGGGAGGCUGGCCGCAGCGGGGCUGUGUGUGGGAUUGCCGCUGAACGGCGGUGCUGUUCCGCGGCCUGGAGUCGCCAGGAGACGGCGAGCACCUCAGCUUGUGAGCGGUGCUGUUGCUGGGCUGGUGGAGGGGAUGGUCAGCCUCUGGCGAGUUUUUAACUUUUUUUCUUUUGAGAAUGUUAGGUUGUCUAAGUCACUUCAAAAAAUACUUGGCUACAUAAAGAGACUGGUUAGGAAACGAUGAGUGCUUACCUCCUAAAUGCCUAUGAUACAUAAAAUCUACACUUAAUAAAGUAUGGAAGCAGUGUUCUACAAUGAACAGACAUACACAGGAGAAUGUGCUGCUGCUCUGGACUUGUGUAGAAAAUCCUUUUUAAUUUGAGAUUCAUUAUCCACAAUCUGGACCAGAAGAUUGAAGCAUCACAGCAACACAUUCGCCCAAAGUGGUAGUUGGACAGAUUAAACUAGUACAACCAGGAAUGUGUGUUGCCUUGUAGAGUGCAGAGCUAUUGCCUGUCCUGUGGUGUUGAGAACCUGUGAAAAAUAUUUUCUUAUUACCCCCUGGAGAUGACCACUGUCAUGUGAAGCUUUCUCAUCCUUUACACCUGUCUACCAUGAAAUACUACACAUUGUAUUAUUGUUAACAUUUAUGUUCCUAAAAACAAUAGUUCAGUACUUAAGGACUUGUUAUGGAAGUUUUCAGUUCAAGGCACUCUGUACCAAGUAGGAAACCUCUACCAAGAACUGUAUUUGCUGCUUUGGACCAAACAGGUAGGUGAAGUGAGCAGAACAUGGUGUUGAAUUCUGUCAGAAGAUAGAUUGCAAGGCAAUUCUUUGCAAAGACAGCUUUAGGCAAGCAGAAAUGGUGUCUAUUUGUUGUGCUCUAAGCUUGAAAAUUUAUAAUCAGAUCUGAUGUGUUUUAGUAACGUUACCCUCUGUUGGCUCUCACUGCUAGGUAGAAUGUCAGUGCACCCUUCUCUUGGACACUGAAUGCUUUCUGUAUGUCCUGGCAUGCUGGAUGUGUUUUCUGGCUGAUAACAGAGGGGUUUAUAUCCCCCUUUUUGCACAGAGAUAGAUUCUGUACAGAGAUUUCCUCUGCCAAAAGCCAUCCUGAGUUUCUGCCAGUCAAAAGUUACCCCAUCUCGCCCGUGGUUAAUGGAAUUUACACAUGAGAUAGUCACACAUUUCCAAGCAUUUGAAAUGGCAGGGUUUCGCUGUAAAACCCAAAUCUGUAAAGAAACUGCAUGUUUCAGUUCACUUUGCAAAAUGCAGAAUCUGCUGAUUUGCUUGCCAGUUGGUUUGGUGAGGAGCCUUUCAUCCCACUGUCUGCAAACCAGGACAUUGUUCAUGCAGAACUGCCAAUUCUAGGAUUGCAAAAAAAACCCCCAAACUAAACCAGAUUUGAAUAAAACUGAGGGGGGGCCGGGGGAGAAGAUUGUCGGGACUCUAGCUCCAGACUAGGGCUGCUAUGUGGGUAGCACCUGUUGCAGUGGAAUGUUUUGGAUUCUCAUCAGUGGCAAAGGACAUUCUGGGGUCCUUCAAAUUCCUUGGAACAGACACAGAGUCCUUGAAUUUUGAAGGGAUCCUGGGGACUCAUUGACAGUCAAGGCAGGUAGCUCCGUUUCAGAUCUGGAAAUAUCAAAAUAUGAAAUAAUUAAACAAAUCCUUUCUUUAGGAGGCUUAGCAGAGGUUUAAAAUACAAAUGUAAAUCCCUCUAAAGCUAAGAGAGUCAAAAGCCUGCAGAGUUUGCAAGAAACUGUCCAGUUCAACUGAAUAUGCUCAGAUUUGACGGGCAGAACAUCUUAAAAUAUCACAUCUCGUGGAGAAGCAGAACAACUGGCUUUUUAGGAGAGAAUACUUUUCUCCCCCUUCUGUGAUUGCUGUUGCUAACAUUUUUUAAAUGCCAGUUUUCUCCCAGGAGGUAAGAGAGAUUAAACAGCACCCGUUUCUAAUAAUCCACCUGAGUGCUUGCUGCCAAAACAUGGCCUGAAUUUGAGUAGAUGCUUCAUUAAGACUCACCACCUGCUUUUGAUAUCUGGCUUUAGCAUAGGUUUGCCGUGUGAUCAUAAGAAUUCAUUUAAGGCGGAAUUUUCAAAGGUGUCAUCUAAGUAACCUAGGUGCCUGCAUUUCAUUUUGAGAGGCUUAGUCACUUAUGGCUGGAUUCUCAAGGGGCCUUUGAAACCUAGAAAACGUUAUAAUUUUUUAAUCAGUUUUCAGAAGUCUGCUUUCAGGUCCUGCUAAGGAGACUGGAAAUUUCGUUAUUGAGUUCAAUAGCAUACGGGUUAAGUCCGAAUAAUACAUUGGUGCCUUCCCAUUCAGAUUUUUCUGUGCCUUUGACCUAGCUGCAGAGAGUAAAACCUCUUUGAUGCAAUCUGUACAGCCUUUCUGUAGAGUGGUACUUUGUAAUAACUUGCAGUGAUGCAUGUAUUAUAAUGAUCUUUUUCAUUCUUCCUGCAUCUGAAACAAGGGUGAAAUACAACAGAAUCUGUGAAUAAUGAAACAUAAAUGCUAUGAUGAAAUUUAAAAAAAUUCAGCUCCCUAGAUGAGAGAAAAUACUUAGGUAGUUCAUAUAGGUACAUAUAGUGCACUAAUGCUGUGACCCAGAGCAAUUUGAAAAUAAAGUUGAUGGAUUACAUAAAUACUAGUGGGAGAAGAACAAAAACUAAAUAUACAUUGGAUACUUAAACGUUACGCUGCAGUAACGUGCACUUUAAUUUGGUGGAUAUUUUCACAGAAUGUUUAAGCUUCCAUUUGCCCCAUCUCCAGCUUCUUGUCCUUUUUCCUCUUUUCACCCUGGAGGGAACUAACACAACUAAAUCUGAUUUUGUGCAUGGUGAGGGGGUGUUCUGACCAGCUGUUUCAGCAACAGAAAGGACUUACAUUAGAUGAAGUGACCUGGUCUUAGUUACGGAAAGUAAUGAUGACCUUUAUUCCUGUUCUCUUUGCUCAUGUGAUUACUCCCACUUGCUCAGUAUUGCCAGACUCAUUCAAGGUGCUCUCUUGGACACUUCUCAACAUCAGACAUUGUUUUAAAAAUAAGAGUAUUUAAAAUGUUUAAAUACAAAGUUCUUUUUGUUUAUCAUCACGUUUCUGAACCUUUAAUCUUACAGCUUCAGGCUUUUCUUGAGGUGAAGGCUGGAUAGCUACUUAAGAGCAAAAGAAGGAAGUGCUGAUUUUGUUACGUAACUCCAGAAGUUUUAAGAAUACAUUGUGGCAACGGUAGAAAAGGUCAUAACACAGCUAACAAGACUGUGAUCUGGUUAUGCUUUUUUUUCAUUCAAUUUGCUGCAAGCAAUUGUAUUCAAGUAAAAGCAGCCAUCCAGCAUACCGAUUGUCUUUGUUUCUGGUGCUGUGAAGUUAGUGGGACUAAAUCACAUGUGCAAUGGGAAAAGUGUGUGAAAGACUUUACAAGAGUGCACCUUUUGUGAAUUAUUGUUACAGUGAUGUAAACAAUGGAUUUCUCUGUUCAUUGAUAACUAAAUGAAAUAAAUUGGAUUGAACCACAACACUUUUUUGGGAGUGAUAAGAAGUGGGAAAAACCCACUUAGUUUUAUGUCAAGAAGUUUAAUUUUGAUUAUGAUAAAUUUAAAUCUUCUCAAUUACAAAACAAUGAUUUUCAAAUCCUUAAAAACUUUCAAAUUCAUUAUUUAGGCUUUGCAAUUUGUUUUUUUUCUUUUUAUCAGAAAGGUUUGCAAAAUGAAGGUGUAACUUUUUUGUAUUUCCUAUUUCCAUAUUAAAGAAAAUGGGGCAGUAAUGUGUGAAGAGUGCAGACUGAAAAAAUGGCAAACGAUCUCAGUGUACGCUGGUUAAAUAAGUGCUAAGUAUUUCUGUCAGCCAGAAGGUGGUAGCAAAAUUCUCCUGUAACAGCUCUGAAUUGUGUUCCAGCAAGCAUUCUCAAUACAAAGUGAUUUUGAAAUGCAGUUCAGAAAACAUUUUUUUUUAGUAGCAGGAACAAAUAGCAUUGACAUUUUUUUCGUUUGGCAGCAUCUUUGAGUAGAAAAGUGUCUGCACUUACUCCUGAGAUGUCAUGUGUCGGGAUUGCAUGUGGGAUCUGUUACUUGGGUUUUGUCUCUGUUUUUUUGCAAUUGUAAUUAUGUUUUUUACAGAGUUUUUAAUGCCAAAGGGAGCCAUUUAUGGGCUGAAAUGACAAGAGAUUUGUUUUCCUCAUAGCAUUGCAAGACUGGAAGAUGUCAGUAUCAUGAGAAGACCAGAUAACACAUUAUUUCCAUCCAGAGGAAUUCUGUCAUUCUUUCACAGAUACGAACACAAAUGCAGGGAAUAUUAUCCACUGCCUGGGACUGAUGUAGCACCCCAGUCAUACUCUUAACAAGUGUAACAACUUGAAGAAGCGAAGGGAUAAGUUUUAUUACUCUGUUUUAUU